GUAGGUGGCAAGCGUUGUCCGGAAUUAUUGGGCGUAAAGCGCGCGCAGGCGGUCCUUUAAGUCUGAUGUGAAAGCCCACGGCUCAACCGUGGAGGGUCAUUGGAAACUGGGGGACUUGAGUACAGAAGAGGAAAGCGGAAUUCCAAGUGUAGCGGUGAAAUGCGUAGAGAUUUGGAGGAACACCAGUGGCGAAGGCGGCUUUCUGGUCUGUAACUGACGCUGAGGCGCGAAAGCGUGGGGAGCAAACAGGAUUAGAUACCCUGGUAGUCCACGCCGUAAACGAUGAGUGCUAAGUGUUAGGGGGUUUCCCGCCCCCUUAGUGCUGCAGCUAACGCAUUAAGCACUCCGCCGUGGGGAGUACGGCCGCAAGGCUG
This 374-nucleotide ribosomal RNA is filed under the name uncultured organism. RNAcentral's name for it is "partial 16S ribosomal RNA". It matches the Rfam family "Bacterial small subunit ribosomal RNA", at positions 527 to 896 of the family's 1533-position model. The record is from RNAcentral.